GGAUGUGAGGGCGAUCUGGCUGCGACAUCUGUCACCCCAUUGAUCGCCAGGGUUGAUUCAGAUGAUCUGGCUGGCUAGGCGGGUGUCCCCUUCCUCCCUCACUGCUCCAUGUGUGUCCCUCCCGAAGGCACUCAGUCAAAGAGGAUGGCCUUCCCUGAAUAGAAUUGGUCUUCAGUCGAGGGUAUACGAGUAGCUACACUCCCCUGCUAGAACCUAAAAACAAGCUCUCUAGAGAAAAUGGAUUUGCAUUUCUGUGGUCUGAAAACCUGAAAUGGAAGUUAUUUUAAGGUAUUUAUCAGU
RNAcentral lists this small nuclear RNA (300 nucleotides) under Erinaceus europaeus (western European hedgehog). RNAcentral describes it as "7SK RNA". It matches the Rfam family "7SK RNA". From Rfam's summary of the family: 7SK was discovered as an abundant small nuclear RNA in the mid-70s but a possible function has only recently been suggested. Two independent studies have found that 7SK RNA binds the CDK9/cyclin T complex (known as elongation factor P-TEFb). The record is from Rfam by way of RNAcentral. Lineage: Eukaryota; Metazoa; Chordata; Mammalia; Eulipotyphla; Erinaceidae.